RNAcentral lists this ribosomal RNA (235 nucleotides) under uncultured bacterium. RNAcentral describes it as "partial 16S ribosomal RNA". It matches the Rfam family "Bacterial small subunit ribosomal RNA", at positions 102 to 334 of the family's 1533-position model. The record is from RNAcentral.
CGACGGGUGAGUAACGCGUAUGCAACUUGCCUAUCAGGAGGGGAUAACCCGGCGAAAGUCGGACUAAUACCGCAUGAAGCAGGGAUCCCGCAUGGGAAUAUUUGCUAAAGAUUCAUCGCUGAUAGAUAGGCAUGCGUUCCAUUAGGCAGUUGGCGGGGUAACGGCCCACCAAACCGAUGAUGGAUAGGGGUUCUGAGAGGAAGGUCCCCCACAUUGGUACUGAGACGCGGUCCAA